Lycium barbarum (goji berry) is the source of this 4864-nucleotide long non-coding RNA. RefSeq lists it as uncharacterized. Lineage: Eukaryota; Viridiplantae; Streptophyta; Magnoliopsida; Solanales; Solanaceae. The transcript is spliced from 2 exons. The record is from RefSeq and is a predicted model, not a curated record.
UAUAUAAUCAUGACAUUGGACCAAAUUAGUGGAAACUCUACUUAAGAAAAAUCUUAAGUGUGUUUUGGUCCGGAAAUGAAGUGAAUUUAAUCCAUUAUAAACAUUUUCUCAAGGAAAUAAUCAACUUUUCUUCCUUAAAGGAUAAUUUUGCCAAAAAGUGGAGUUUUAUGAUUAGCAUGACAGUUUUAGCAAUAAAGUAAAUAUUUUUAGCAAAUAAUCGCAUUAAUCACACAUUGAAGCUCAUAGGUCAACCGUAUUCUAUGAAUUCUUAAUACUAGGGUGCUUAAAACCUUUCCUAGGGGACCAUCAGAACUCUUACCUCGAACUUUGGUCAAAAAGAAUUUUUCUCUUGUUUGAUAAACCCUUUUAAACCCGGGUUUUUUUAGUUUUCCUUAAAUAAAUUAGGUGGCGACUCUAAAAUACUAAAAUCCAUUUAGAGAACCAACAACAUCUUAGUAGCUUCUAUGCGUCCGCGCAAAAGUGAACCAUAACAGUGAUAUAGUGUAGGUAAGAUUUCACUGCUCUCAAUGGAUUGGGAACAUAGCAAGCUGCUUUUAUGUUAAUCACACACUAAAUGACGUGAAUUAAUUGUUGAUGAUGACUAGUAUUAGCAGAUAUAGUUCUUUCCCUUAAUGAGGCAACACAAAAAGAUAAAAAAAAAAAUUAGAACUUAAGUGGACUAGUUUUUGUUAUGAUAUGUAGAAAAUAUUUCAUUUAUCUGGCCCCGGAGGUUAGCUCAAUUGUCAAAGGUUGAGGGUAUUGUAUCAUAGGUCAUAGGUUCAAGUCCUGCGCCAAGUGAACUAACUCUGGCAUUUAAGGGGAAGAAGGGCAGAGACGGUCCCAUUAUCCCCAAGAAUAAAAAAUGUUUACCAAAAUAUUACAUUUAUUUCAGUGAAGAAAAGUUGGCUUGGCGAUUGUUGCAUAUGUGUCUUACUGUGAGGAGUUAGUUUUGCUCCACCUUCCGUCCUCAAGGUUUAGUUUUGCUUAUUUAAGAUGGGUGAUAAUUAUAACUGAUAUUUAGUCUCCACGGAAGUUGAUCGACUAAUGUUAGCGAACAAUCUCAAUAUGUUGUAUGUGAAUGGAAUUAUCUUGGUAUUUUUAAUUCACUGCUUAAGCAGGCAUGUGCAUAUUUAAUGUAACACAAGGCCGGGAUAAAAGGAGUCAAUCAUUAAAUCAUAAUGCAUAAUAUCUAAAUGUGUGCAAUGUAGGUUGCUUAUUCAUUUAACUGUUCUAGUGUCGUGUGAUAAGGUUCAUUUUACCAUAGUGAUGACUGAAGGACGAAUUUAUUUCUGAAAUUGAUUGUUUCUUUCGUUUGGUUCAUAAGACAGAGAUGUAAGAAGUUAAUUCCUAUUGUGUUUUAUCUACUUACAAAAAGGAAGAGCUCGGGUAUAAACAUUUAAAUAAAUCGCAUUUACUAAUGACACUUUGAUUAUAAAGUGUGUAAUCCUGUAUAAGUGUUGAAAUUUAGACAAGCUCCUUAAGUUGAGAUACAGUGUUUUCUAUGCAACUGUUUAGAGUAAUGUGAAAGUCUGUUGUCUUUGUUGUGUUGUUAUUCCAAAUUUGAAUAUGCCAGCUUCAGAAUUUAGGAUUUCGCGAGCAUUUCACUUAAAUGAAGGGAUUGGGCAUAUAAUUGAGUAUUUGUUUCCCUCCCUUUCCUGCCAGGAUUGGAAAUCAUAUAUUUUACAUAUCCAUACGAUUGAGUCCUUUAGUUUCCGAAAUAGUGUAAAAAGAAGUGUUCGAAUCAUUGCUAUUUGACUUGGACCUGUUCUAAAAAAGUCGAGGUAUUUCGAAUUGUUUGUUGACACGGACAAAGUCAGGAAAUUCUUGCUCCCAUUGGACCAUUUGUAUCUAUAUGCAUCAGGAUCCCGAUUCAUGUACUAUCUUUCUUUCGAAUACUGAUUACUAAGAAUUUGAACAAAAAGUGGAUACGGUUGUCGAAAUGCAAGCACUGUGUAGUCUAUUUGUCCAUUUUUCUGUCUUAGAGCUAACGUUCGUUCACUAAAUUAAAAAUGGUUCUGGUGAACAUUAGCCAUUUCCUAGUUCUCGGUCCCUGCUCACUAGAUGGACAGAACAUUAGAAAUAAUAGACUAUCUUCAAUGCUCUUGUUAUGGAUUCACCCCUCGAAUUGAAGGGCUAAAAGCUGAGCGGUGCAUGGAGAGCAAAGAACCUUAGGGACCGAGAGGAUAGUAAGUUGAAAGAUAUGGUGUGGACGAGGUAUGAGGAUCUGGGAAGCUAACAGAGAAGGAGUAGGAGAAUUCUAUUCUCAGAAGGAAGUCUAGUUUUGCUUACUGAAGAUCAUGAGUGACUUUGUCAUGGAAUCCAACUAAGAAAAGAUUAUCUUAUUCAUCAUUUAUGCUCUAAAAUAUUACAAGCAACAGAAAGCAUGGUGUCCAAGCACAAAAGUAGACACCGGGUAAAAUAUUAGAAGAGUAAAAUAUCAUCUAAUUGUCACUCAGACCACUGGGCAAAAGAAAAUAAUACUAGAAAAAAGGGUCUGUGCACUCAGAUUUUUUUCCCCGGGGGAUGUGGGGGGGAUGCAAAAUAGUUACUACAAAAGUCCAGAAGAAAAAAGAUAUGUUGGGUCCCCCAUCUGUCCCGGGUACCUAUGUCGGUGGGAGGUAGAAAGUAUCCCGUGGAAUUAGUCGAGGUUCGUAAAAGCUGGCCCAACCACAACAGCUAAAAAGAAAGAUGUUAUUCCCAUUACCGAUGUUCGGAUUAAGACUAGAGACCUAAUAGAGUUCAAAACAUCUUAGCUUUGAGGAUUGAUUAGUAGCUGGUAGUCCAUGAAAAUAUCUUUUGUUCCUUUCAUUCCAGAUACUCCAAAACAAUAGCAGCAGAUAUCAUCUUCUUAAUGGUGCUAUCAACUUUCCAUUUUGUCUCAGUCUAAUUGUGCACAAGCUUAAUAGUAGAGCAUGAAAAUAUUGAGAAAAUUAAGUCCUUGUAGAAAUUGUUAAAAGCAAAUGAAAGUGAUACAUUCAGUUGAAAGGUUUCUGCUUAACCUUUCUAAAAAAUAAACAACAUUUUAUAGCACAAGGAUUUAGAGGGAAUAUCGUGAAGCUUUUAAUGAUUAAUGGUUUCACUUCCAAUCAUAAGAAGGGUAUGGAAAUAAAAGGGGAAAACAAAAAGGGUAGGCAUUGUUAUUCUCAAACUUGAAGAUAGGAUCUUGCAUCCGUUGCAAUCCCUUUGGUGUUGCUUGCUUUCUCUUCUUCUUUCAGGUUUUGUGAUGUGUGAUGUCUGCAUAUGGAGCUUUGUGUCUCUUUCCUACUCCAUUCACAGUUUCACACUUGCCUAAGUAAACUGCAUUUGAAGUGGUUGUCAUUUGCAGAUGAAAUAUACACACGUUUAAUUGCAAAAUUUUAUAUUUAGCUGUGAAAAGUCAUUUUUCGAGUCUCAAUUCCUCUUCCAAAGGGAAGAUAGUAUAGCACGAUAAUUGAUAGUAUAGCAGGAUAAUUGCAUAAGAUAUCAAUUUGUUUUCUGUUAUCCUUUCGUUAAGCUUUCCUGAUUAAUGACGAACACCUUCUCUUAUUGCCAAUUUCCUGUGUAUGACCAUUCAAAACUGCUAUCAUUUGUAAUGAGGCUUUCCUAUGUAACUAUUUUGCAACAGUUUGCUGCUCUUUUAUACAAUACUUAUACCAAUAAAAAAAACUGCCUUCUUUUGUAAUAUUAAUGUCCUUAACUGCUAUGCUUGCUGGGUUUUAUAGAGGAGGAUGUUCCAGUAGAGUUUUCUUCACCAACUAUCUCGACUUGGCAGGGAGAUUGCUACGACCACUAUUUUCUUCCACCUUCCUGUGGGGACUACACACCUUUAAGAAUAAUGCACUUGAUGUAGACUUUUGGCAAGGUUUAGAGAAUAAAAUCAUUGCUAGUUUGCUACACUUUUUCUCUCUUGUUCUUUUUCGGACUAAUGGUUAAUUUGACAAAUUAGUUUCAAAGGAUGCAUGUGGUGUACCAGGAAUGCGUGAAUGCCAUAACGAUUCUUGGUUUGACAACGCCAAAUCUGGUCAGUGAAGCGAUGAUGACGGCGGUGGAGGUGAUGGAGUCGAUCUGGGACUCGAAUUUUCCGGCGGUUUCACCAACAAAGGUAGUGAGCCUUACGAUGACGAGAAAAAAGCGAGAAAGAGGAAAGCAUAUGAUAUUGUUCGUGGUGGGAGCUUAUCAGACUUUGAAUUUCGCCGAAGUGGCUCGAGCAGGCUUGGAGAAGGAGAUGGUCAGAUCUGGAGAAAUGAGGGAGAAUAAGGAGGAUUUGUUCUCGAUGUAUUUUCUUUAAAUAUAUAGUAUAGUUACGGAAGGUGAUUAGAAACAUAGUAUAGCUACAGUAGGUAAUUAAUUUAAAAUAUAGUUAUGGUAGGUAAAUACCUCUUAGAUGUUAUCUACAACAUGUAAAAUUAACCUAUUUACCAAAUAUAGUAAGGUUUUACAUUUUAUAACAGAUUGGGAAAAAGGUGUGCUUGUGUGCGUAAAACUUCUUUCUUUCUUCCAGCAAUUUAACACAAACUUGAUUGAAAUAAAUCUCAAUCCAGAAUAUCCAAAUUUUGAUGGUCUGUCAAUAGUGUGGCUUUGAAUUUCUUCAAAUUUCAGCUUCUAGAAACUCUAAUGUCAGCCAUUAAAGGACCUCAAAGCUCAAGUUCGAAAAAUGAAUUUGCCUCAAACGAACUUCGUUUGGAGUGUGUGAUAUCUCAAAAGAAUAGGAACGUCAAGGAGAGUUUGAAUCUAGCAUUUGGGACUAUUUGGGUAAGAUUUGAGCUAGUUUAGCCCUAAAUUUUAGUCAUAGUUUGUUGAAGUCCGAAGUUACAGUUGAAUUGUAUCAAAUUUGUAUUAAACUUUUAUUCUAAUUAUAUGAAAAUUGUAUUAUAAGUUUGUAAAA